This is a long non-coding RNA of Cebus imitator (Panamanian white-faced capuchin), 1855 nucleotides long. RefSeq lists it as uncharacterized. The transcript has 3 exons. The record is from RefSeq and is a predicted model, not a curated record. Lineage: Eukaryota; Metazoa; Chordata; Mammalia; Primates; Cebidae.
AGGGUCACAGCUAUAAGGAAUUGGCCUUGAGUCUCAGGUGAAACUUUGAAUAUUGGACAUUUGAGUUGAUGCUGGAACAAGAUAAGAGUUUUGAAGACUAUGAGAUGGAAUAACUACACUCAACACUAAAAGGACUAAGACACUGGCUCUUCAAGGGGGAAAAAGAUUAUCCUGGCUAUCACCAACAUUCCAGGAUGAAGAAAUCUGGUAAUAUAUUCAGGCUACUGGAAUGCCCUCCAGUACAGCAGUGAAUGCCAGUGGAAUGCAAUUCUUUUGCUUUAGAAGAUAAACUUUUAGCAAUGUCAAGUUUCCAGGUACAACUGAGAGAUAUUUAACACAUUAAUAUUUCCACCAAGAUGGGGAAAAUUUCCUAGAGCUCAUUUCUUUUGACAGCAGAGAAGUAUCCAAGUUAUUCUAGAAAAUAAAGCAUAGUUUUCCUCAAGUCCUAUAUUACAUGAGACUACUGUCUCCAAAAAUUAAAUUCCCACAACAACCUAGAAAGUUUGGAGAUCUCUAUUUGAUUUUUCCGUCUUGCUAAAUAUUCUUCAAAACAAAUAUUAGUUGUCCCUGUCACUCAGAAUGAAGAAAAACGGUGUUAAUGAGGACCUGGAGAAGUAAACUGACUACUGCUUUUCCAGACUCCAGAACUAUAACAAAUAAAUUUCUGUUGUUUAUAAGCUACCCAGAUUAUGGGGUUUUGCUGUAGCAGCCCAGGUGGACUAAGGCAAGGUUACUUUUAGCUUUUUACAUAUGUGUUUGUGUAUAUGUAUCUGUGAGAUAGAAAAAAGCUAUUAUUCAUCAUAGAGUUAAAAUAUAUUAAGAAUUUAAACUUUUCUACAAAAAUUUAAUUCAAGUUUUAGUGAGAAAGUAAAGUAAAAUGAAUGUAUAUAAAACAACUCCUCAUAGAGGACAUCUGUUCUGGCAGGUGAGAAACUGAUACCUAUGUGCUGCUCGGAGAAGGUAAGUGUAACUGGCAUGCUCAGUAGCAUCUUCAUAUACUUUUGGAGAAAGCUCAUCAAACCAAAGUAUGGCUUACCGACUAAGGCCAUUGCUUGCGAUCCUGCCUUAUUUAUCUUCUUUGUGUUGUUGCUCUUCCAGGUAACCCUCUCCUUUUCAUUAUUAGGUUUUUAUUUUCCAUCUCUGUGUUCCUCAGUAGAUAAGAAAGCAGAAAUGAGCUGGAAUCCAAUCUUUACAGACUUUUCUACUGAAAAUACGUAAGUAUCCUCCAAUACUAUGUGUUAUAUAAAAAAUUACUAACCAUAAAAUAAUUGUCAUGAAAACCCAACCUUCCUAUUAAGUGAUAGUUUUACCAAAGCAUCAAAAAUACAUUUAUUUACAAUAAAAUGCUUGAUCUUUAUGCAUGCAUGCAGGCCAACUACUGGAUCUCCAAUCAGUGACCAUGAAUAAUACUUUUGUUUUUUGGCCUUGAACCUAUUGCAUAUGUUCUAGCCACUGCCUCUUUCCGGUGGAAAUACUGAUUUUCUCAUGAAAAACAAACAGCUCUUCAAUGAGGAAAUGUUAUGUGCCUCAUUAAGAAAUACUUUGGUCUGAAUGUUUGUGACCCCACCAAAUUUAUGGGUUCAAAUCCUAACCCCCAAGGUGAUGAUAAAAGGAGAUGGAGAUUUGGGGGAGGUGAUUUGGUAAUGAAAAUGGAACCCUCAUGAAGGGAAUUAGUAUCCUUAUGAAUGAGGAAUCAGAGAACUAACUUGUCCCUUUCACUAGACAAGCAAACAGCAAGAAGACGCCUUCUAGGAAUCAUGAAAUGGAUCCUCAUCAGACACUUCAUUGGCAGAUGUCUUGAUCUUGGACUUCCCAGCCUCCAGAACUAUAAAAAAUAAAUUUCUGUUGUUUAUAA